UUAAGCGACUAAGCGUACACGGUGGAUGCCCUGGCAGUCAGAGGCGAUGAAGGACGUGCUAAUCUGCGAAAAGCGUCGGUAAGGUGAUAUGAACCGUUAUAACCGGCGAUGUCCGAAUGGGGAAACCCAGUGUGAUUCGUCACACUAUCGUUAACUGAAUACAUAGGUUAACGAGGCGAACCGGGGGAACUGAAACAUCUAAGUACCCCGAGGAAAAGAAAUCAACCGAGAUUCCCCCAGUAGCGGCGAGCGAACGGGGAGCAGCCCAGAGUCUGAAUCAGCUUGUGUGUUAGUGGAACGGUCUGGAAAGUCCGACGGUACAGGGUGAUAGUCCCGUACACCAAAAUGCACAGGCUGUGAACUCGAAGAGUAGGGCGGGACACGUGGUAUCCUGUCUGAAUAUGGGGGGACCAUCCUCCAAGGCUAAAUACUCCUGACUGACCGAUAGUGAACCAGUACCGUGAGGGAAAGGCGAAAAGAACCCCGGCGAGGGGAGUGAAAAAGAACCUGAAACCGUGUACGUACAAGCAGUGGGAGCACCUUCGGGUGUGACUGCGUACCUUUUGUAUAAUGGGUCAGCGACUUAUAUUCUGUAGCAAGGUUAACCGUAUAGGGGAGCCGCAGGGAAACCGAGUCUUAACUGGGCGUUAAGUUGCAGGGUAUAGACCCGAAACCCGGUGAUCUAGCCAUGGGCAGGUUGAAGGUUGGGUAACACUAACUGGAGGACCGAACCGACUAAUGUUGAAAAAUUAGCGGAUGACUUGUGGCUGGGGGUGAAAGGCCAAUCAAACCGGGAGAUAGCUGGUUCUCCCCGAAAGCUAUUUAGGUAGCGCCUCGUGAACUCAUCUUCGGGGGUAGAGCACUGUUUCGGCUAGGGGGUCAUCCCGACUUACCAACCCGAUGCAAACUACGAAUACCGAAGAAUGUUAUCACGGGAGACACACGGCGGGUGCUAACGUCCGUCGUGAAGAGGGAAACAACCCAGACCGCCAGCUAAGGUCCCAAAGUCAUGGUUAAGUGGGAAACGAUGUGGGAAGGCACAGACAGCCAGGAUGUUGGCUUAGAAGCAGCCAUCAUUUAAAGAAAGCGUAAUAGCUCACUGGUCGAGUCGGCCUGCGCGGAAGAUGUAACGGGGCUAAACCAUGCACCGAAGCUGCGGCAGCGACACUAUGUGUUGUUGGGUAGGGGAGCGUUCUGUAAGCCUGCGAAGGUGACCUGUGAGGGUUGCUGGAGGUAUCAGAAGUGCGAAUGCUGACAUAAGUAACGAUAAAGCGGGUGAAAAGCCCGCUCGCCGGAAGACCAAGGGUUCCUGUCCAACGUUAAUCGGGGCAGGGUGAGUCGACCCCUAAGGCGAGGCCGAAAGGCGUAGUCGAUGGGAAACAGGUUAAUAUUCCUGUACUUGGUGUUACUGCGAAGGGGGGACGGAGAAGGCUAUGUUAGCCGGGCGACGGUUGUCCCGGUUUAAGCAUGUAGGCUGGUUGUCCAGGCAAAUCCGGAUAAUCAAGGCUGAGGUGUGAUGACGAGGCACUACGGUGCUGAAGUAACAAAUGCCCUGCUUCCAGGAAAAGCCUCUAAGCAUCAGGUAACAUUAAAUCGUACCCCAAACCGACACAGGUGGUCAGGUAGAGAAUACCAAGGCGCUUGAGAGAACUCGGGUGAAGGAACUAGGCAAAAUGGUGCCGUAACUUCGGGAGAAGGCACGCUGGUGUGUAGGUGAAGUCCCUGCGGAUGGAGCUGAGACCAGUCGAAGAUACCAGCUGGCUGCAACUGUUUAUUAAAAACACAGCACUGUGCAAACACGAAAGUGGACGUAUACGGUGUGACGCCUGCCCGGUGCCGGAAGGUUAAUUGAUGGGGUUAUCCGUAAGGAGAAGCUCUUGAUCGAAGCCCCGGUAAACGGCGGCCGUAACUAUAACGGUCCUAAGGUAGCGAAAUUCCUUGUCGGGUAAGUUCCGACCUGCACGAAUGGCGUAAUGAUGGCCAGGCUGUCUCCACCCGAGACUCAGUGAAAUUGAACUCGCUGUGAAGAUGCAGUGUACCCGCGGCAAGACGGAAAGACCCCGUGAACCUUUACUAUAGCUUGACACUGAACAUUGAGCCUUGAUGUGUAGGAUAGGUGGGAGGCUUUGAAGCGUGGACGCCAGUCUGCGUGGAGCCAACCUUGAAAUACCACCCUUUAAUGUUUGAUGUUCUAACGUUGGCCCCUUACCGGGGUUGCGGACAGUGUCUGGUGGGUAGUUUGACUGGGGCGGUCUCCUCCUAAAGCGUAACGGAGGAGCACGAAGGUUAGCUAAUCCUGGUCGGACAUCAGGAGGUUAGUGCAAUGGCAUAAGCUAGCUUGACUGCGAGCGUGACGGCGCGAGCAGGUGCGAAAGCAGGUCAUAGUGAUCCGGUGGUUCUGAAUGGAAGGGCCAUCGCUCAACGGAUAAAAGGUACUCCGGGGAUAACAGGCUGAUACCGCCCAAGAGUUCAUAUCGACGGCGGUGUUUGGCACCUCGAUGUCGGCUCAUCACAUCCUGGGGCUGAAGUAGGUCCCAAGGGUAUGGCUGUUCGCCAUUUAAAGUGGUACGCGAGCUGGGUUUAGAACGUCGUGAGACAGUUCGGUCCCUAUCUGCCGUGGGCGCUGGAGAAUUGAGGGGGGCUGCUCCUAGUACGAGAGGACCGGAGUGGACGCAUCACUGGUGUUCGGGUUGUCAUGCCAAUGGCACUGCCCGGUAGCUAAAUGCGGAAGAGAUAAGUGCUGAAAGCAUCUAAGCACGAAACUUGCCCCGAGAUGAGUUCUCCCUGAGACUUUAAGUCUCCUGAAGGAACGUUGAAGACGACGACGUUGAUAGGCCGGGUGUGUAAGCGCAGCGAUGCGUUGAGCUAACCGGUACUAAUGAACCGUGAGGCUUAACCUU
This 2900-nucleotide ribosomal RNA is filed under the name Klebsiella pneumoniae. RNAcentral's name for it is "bacterial LSU rRNA". It matches the Rfam family "Bacterial large subunit ribosomal RNA". Lineage: Bacteria; Pseudomonadati; Pseudomonadota; Gammaproteobacteria; Enterobacterales; Enterobacteriaceae. The record is from RNAcentral.